Molecule: long non-coding RNA, 788 nt
Organism: Eurytemora carolleeae
Lineage: Eukaryota; Metazoa; Arthropoda; Copepoda; Calanoida; Temoridae
Exons: 3
Source: RefSeq, a predicted model, not a curated record
UGGGUCAAGAUUUGAAUGGGAAUCUUGUAGACAUGGCGACGAAAGCUGCGACUGCAGAUCAAUGCCAAACUUUAUGCGAGCAAGUGGCUGCCUGCAACGGAUGGAUAUUUUAUGCGCCAAACUGUUUUAAAAAAGGUGGUGAAAUUGUCUUUAGAAAUAUUGUUCAACCCGGCCUUAUUUCUGGUUUUAAACCCUCCUACAUCAGCGUAAACCCUGAAGAUCUCUAGGCCAAAUCUGAACCCUGAAGAUCUCUAGGCCAAAUCUGAACCCUGAAGAUCUCUAGGCCAAAUCUGAACCCUCAAGAUCUCUAGGCCAAAUCGGAACCCUCAAGAUCUCUAGGCCAAAACUGAACCCUGAAAAUCUCUAGGUCAAAUCUGAACCCUAAGUUUCUCUAGGCAAAAUUUUAACCCUGAAAUAUCUCUAGGCCAAAUCUGAACCCUGAAGAUCUCUAGGCCAAAUCUGAACCCUCAAGAUCUCUAGGCCAAAACUGAACCCUGAAAAUCUCUAGGUCAAAUCUGAACCCUAAGUUUCUCUAGGCAAAAUUUUAACCCUGAAAUAUCUCUAGGCCAAAUCUGAACCCUGAAGAUCUCUAGGCAAAAUUUUAACACUGAAACAUCUCUAAGACCAAUCUAAAGCAAAAUAUAUAUAAUGCUUUAAACAUCAAGCAAACUCAAAAACUAAAAUCGUGUUUAUCCAUAUAAUUUGGCGCAUUUCCUAAAAAAACGGAAUAAUCAAAUAUAUUAGAAAUAAAUCAAUUACAGAAAAAUGGUUUGCCGUAAAAUUUUAGU